UGCUAUUCACCUUCUCAUCCUUCACAUGUUUUUUUACACGAAAUAUGAAUAAGCAGGAACACAUAUUCCAUAAACCGUGUCCAUGUACAGUGAAUAUAUCUGCAACGUCACUAUCAACAGGGUUUACAUUUUGCAGUUUCACGACACAUCAAAACAAGUAGACUAACGUAACACUAUUAGCUACUUUGAGAGUUUGUUUUUCUUUUGAAAAGAAGGAUACCGGGCCUUUCCAUCUAGACGAUGCAUGCAAUUAUUUUAUUAGUUAUUCAUAAAAUCCUUACAAAGCAAUAUAUCAACAAGUGUGAAGCCACCAUAUUAGCAACAUCUAUCGCUACUCUUAUUCACUUGAUGAAGGAGUGCCGAUAGUCCGAGCCGAAUAGCAAACAAACCUCACACAAAAGUCUAACAUCUAAACACGGGGACACUGACCAAUCCGCUUGCCUGGUCUGCGGCACACACCAACCCGACACACUCUCAGAGUCCGCCACGACCGUCUUCCACAGAUCCAUCUUCAGAGAAGGUACUCAUGCAUCGAUAAUGACAGGCCUGCCGUCGAGGCCACCAUGAUGCGAGACAAUGCCACCUCCCUACGCACGUC
RNAcentral lists this long non-coding RNA (598 nucleotides) under Hordeum vulgare. RNAcentral describes it as "long non-coding RNA (HVUL_LNC013336)". Lineage: Eukaryota; Viridiplantae; Streptophyta; Magnoliopsida; Poales; Poaceae. The record is from RNAcentral.